Molecule: ribosomal RNA, 567 nt
Filed under: uncultured bacterium
Lineage: Bacteria
Description: partial 16S ribosomal RNA
Rfam family: Bacterial small subunit ribosomal RNA
Source: RNAcentral
UGGGGAAUCUUAGACAAUGGGGGAAACCCUGAUCUAGCCAUGCCGCGUGAGCGAUGAAGGCCUUAGGGUUGUAAAGCUCUUUCAGCUGGGAAGAUAAUGACGGUACCAGCAGAAGAAGCCCCGGCUAACUCCGUGCCAGCAGCCGCGGUAAUACGGAGGGGGCUAGCGUUGUUCGGAAUUACUGGGCGUAAAGCGCACGUAGGCGGAUUAGUCAGUCAGAGGUGAAAUCCCAGGGCUCAACCCUGGAACUGCCUUUGAUACUGCUAGUCUUGAGGUCGAGAGAGGUGAGUGGAAUUCCCGAGUGUAGAGGUGAAAUUCGUAGAUAUUCGGAGGAACACCAGUGGCGAAGGCGGCUCACUGGCUCGAUACUGACGCUGAGGUGCGAAAGCGUGGGGAGCAAACAGGAUUAGAUACCCCUGGUAGUCCACGCCGUAAACGAUGAAUGCCAGUCGUCGGGUUGCAUGCAAUUCGGUGACACACCCUAAACGGGAUUAAAGCAUUCCGCCUGGGGAGUACGGUCGCAAGAUUAAAACUUAAAUGAAUUGACGGGGUCAUAGCUGUUUCCUG